RNAcentral lists this ribosomal RNA (253 nucleotides) under uncultured bacterium. RNAcentral describes it as "partial 16S ribosomal RNA". It matches the Rfam family "Bacterial small subunit ribosomal RNA", at positions 524 to 776 of the family's 1533-position model. The record is from RNAcentral.
GACGAACCGUGCGAACGUUGUUCGGAUUCACUGGGCUUAAAGGGCGCGUAGGCGGGCUCGCCAGUCUGUGGUGAAAGCCCCCAGCUCAACUGGGGAAGUGCCGUGGAUACUGCCGGUCUGGAGGAGGGUAGGGGCAUCUGGAACGCUGGGUGGAGCGGUGAAAUGCGUUGAUAUCCAGCGGAACUCCGGUGGCGAAGGCGAGGUGCUGGACCCUUUCUGACGCUGAGGCGCGAAAGCCAGGGGAGCAAACGGG